UGCCGCUUGAUAAAAUAAGGUUGUAAUCUGAAUUUUCAGAAAACAUUAAUAGGGAAUCAAGUUGAAUUCUUGAGCUGUACCCGCAACUGUAAGCCAUCAAUAGUAUUGUUAUUUUUGUGUCACUGAUUUUAGAUCGGGAAGGCCAACAAUUACUAAGCAAGCCAGGAGACCUGCCUAUUUUUUAUUAUACAU
Molecule: non-coding RNA, 192 nt
Filed under: Kaistella chaponensis
Lineage: Bacteria; Pseudomonadati; Bacteroidota; Flavobacteriia; Flavobacteriales; Weeksellaceae
Source: RNAcentral